CGCGGGGUAGAGCAGCUCGGUAGCUCGCUGGGACGACUUCCCAGAGGUCGCAGGUUCAAAUCCUGUCCCCGCUACAA
RNAcentral lists this transfer RNA (77 nucleotides) under Amycolatopsis balhimycina DSM 5908. RNAcentral describes it as "tRNA-OTHER". It matches the Rfam family "tRNA". From Rfam's summary of the family: Transfer RNA (tRNA) molecules are approximately 80 nucleotides in length. Their secondary structure includes four short double-helical elements and three loops (D, anti-codon, and T loops). Further hydrogen bonds mediate the characteristic L-shaped molecular structure. tRNAs have two regions of fundamental functional importance: the anti-codon, which is responsible for specific mRNA codon recognition, and the 3' end, to which the tRNAs corresponding amino acid is attached (by aminoacyl-tRNA synthetases). tRNAs cope with the degeneracy of the genetic code in two manners: having more than one tRNA (with a specific anti-codon) for a particular amino acid; and 'wobble' base-pairing, i.e. permitting non-standard base-pairing at the 3rd anti-codon position. Lineage: Bacteria; Bacillati; Actinomycetota; Actinomycetes; Pseudonocardiales; Pseudonocardiaceae. The record is from RNAcentral.